AUUCAUUCCCACAACAUGCACAUAACCUGGUCACCAUUACUUUUAUUGUCACAUUAGAAGAAGAACCUAGCAGCCAAUCACAUGACUCGCUGGACUUGACAUCAUCAAACAGAAGCAAAGUUUUGGCCCUGCAGUGGACUGACCAGACAUCCAGGUUAUGGGCCCUCAUCCAAAUGAUAGGCUCCAGCAACCACUGCGAAGAGGUAAAAAGGUUUGGAAAAUGGAUAAGUGCGUGGAUGGACGGACGGACGGACGGACGGUUUGGGUUUCUUCGUAUUAGUUUCUUUGCUUCCAUUAUGUCACCGUCAUGAUUUGAGUUCUGCUUCCUGUUUUAUUUUGAAAGGUUUCCUGUUUUGUCAUGCUUUUGAGUUUUACUUCCCUGGUCCCAAUCUCUCCUGAUCAUGUUCACCUGUGUCUUGUCAGUGCUGUUUGUAUUUAAGUCUUGUCUCUGCCUUCCUCUUGUCCAUUGUCGUCUCUUCCCUUCUGCCAUGUGUUCAUGCUAUGCCCACAAUAAGUUAAGUUUUGUUUUCCUGCUCUGCAGGGAUUUUUGUUAGUUGAAUAAACCCCUUGCCCUGGAACCGUGUGCCUCCUGUCUCUGCAUUUCGGGUCCUUCACGCUCACAAGCCCCCCCAACCUGACAGGAUGAAUGGAGACAUAGAUGGAUUAAUAGGUGGAUGGAUGGAUGAAAGGUUGGGUGCUUUGAUGGUUAAAUAUAUGGGUGGGUGGAUUGGUUAAUAGAUGUAUUGAAUUUUGGAUGGAUUAAUAAGAAAUAUUUAGAAAUAGAUCAAUAAUCAAUUGGAUGAAAGGGGUGAUGGAUGGAUGGAUGGAAAAUAGAUGGAUGGAUUGAUGGAUGGACGGACAAACGUGGAAGACGGAUGGGUGGUUUAAUCGAUGGAUUAAUGGAGGAUGAGUGGAUAAAUUGAUGGAAGGGGUCAUUUGUUUUGUUUACUGUAAACAUCUAAAACACAUUUCAGCUCCAUAACUUUGCAUGUUUUGAAACGGUGCUAAACCGCCACCAGUGUAUGAAUGUGUGUGUGACUGUAAAGGGCUUUGUCUUUGUAGGAAGAAAGGCGCUAUAUAAGUAUACGCCAAACAGUUUUGUUGAUUUUCCUGUUACUGGUUUAAUUUCUUUAUUAUUAUUAUAAUUCUUUUAUUUUUACUAUUUAAUUAUCACUGAAAUCCACAGAAAGAAUUAAAGAAUCUUUGAAAACUUUGCUUUAGUUUUACGGUGAGCGAUAAACCGAAUGUGGAAUUGGGAAUGGACCAGGUUGACCAGCCAUCAGUAGCUGGGAUAGGCUCCAGCAACACUCUUACUCUGUUCAAACUUUGGCGUGAAAGCAGCAGCUCCUCCUUCCUCCUCUUUCUGAUGUCUGAACUCUGGAUCUUCCCGUUUCCCUCCUGACUCUCUGAACGCUGGAGGCCGUCUUACUAACCGCCGCCCCCCCCCCCCCCCCCAUCCAUCUCAACCCCACACUUUGAUUCGAUGCCUUUAAUAAAAGAUGACGUUUCUGCUCCUCGCCUCAUUUCUCGUGUCUUUGCUCCCUGACUUCCACUUAUCUCACAAAAACAUUAGUCUUUUGUCCGGCCGGCGGGAUGAAUGAAGGCCUCGUCUGCACUCAAACAUGGAUCAUAGCAGCAGAGCGGCUGAUUACAUUCAGACAACACAAGCGUCUCGGCGA
This is a long non-coding RNA of Oryzias sinensis (Chinese medaka), 1679 nucleotides long. NCBI's taxonomy places the organism in Eukaryota, Metazoa, Chordata, Actinopteri, Beloniformes, Adrianichthyidae. The record is from Ensembl.